GAAUCUUACCGGGUCCGGACACACUGAGGAUUGACAGACAAUUGUCUUUUUGUCAAAUUUAAAGACAAAAGAUAACAGAUCUUUCAUGAUUAUGUGAUGGGUGGUGCAUGGCCGUUCUUAGUUCGUGGAGUGAUCUGUCUGCUUAAUUGCGUUUCAAAUAUAUUUUAUUAUAUAACGAGUCUACAAAGGAGUGGUUCAUUAACAGACAAUCAUAUCUUUGAGCGUCUGGAAUCUACUCUAUUUGGCUCAAUUGAACGCAACGGACGUGAUCGCGAGUCCUUGUUGAACUUCAGUAUAUAUUGACUUUCCCCGUAGGAAGGGAUUGGCAAUAAUUGAAUGUUCGCUUUCUAUAGGUGUGUAUGAUUAAUCUCAAAAUUACAUGUAUUUGUAGUGGCGAGUAUAAUUUACUAUCCUAUAGGAAAACUCGGGCGACCGCUGUAAUAUUUCUCUUUAAAACAGAGGAAGAUUGCGGCAAUAACAGGUCUGUGAUGC
RNAcentral lists this ribosomal RNA (492 nucleotides) under Globigerinella siphonifera. RNAcentral's name for it is "bacterial SSU rRNA". It matches the Rfam family "Eukaryotic small subunit ribosomal RNA", at positions 1210 to 1470 of the family's 1831-position model. The record is from RNAcentral. Lineage: Eukaryota; Foraminifera; Rotaliida; Globigerinidae.